AUUGAACGCUGGCGGCAGGCCUAACACAUGCAAGUCGAACGGCAGCACAGAAGAGCUUGCUCUUUGGGUGGCGAGUGGCGGACGGGUGAGUAAUGUCUGGGAAACUGCCCGAUGGAGGGGGAUAACUACUGGAAACGGUAGCUAAUACCGCAUAACGUCGCAAGACCAAAGUGGGGGACCUUCGGGCCUCGCACCAUCGGAUGUGCCCAGAUGGGAUUAGCUAGUAGGUGGGGUAAUGGCUCACCUAGGCGACGAUCCCUAGCUGGUCUGAGAGGAUGACCAGCCACACUGGAAAUGAGACACGGUCCAGACUCCUACGGGAGGCAGCAGUGGGGAAUAUUGCACAAUGGGCGCAAGCCUGAUGCAGCCAUGCCGCGUGUAUGAAGAAGGCCUUCGGGUUGUAAAGUACUUUCAGCGGGGAGGAAGGCGGUGAGGUUAAUAACCUUGCCGAUUGACGUUACCCGCAGAAGAAGCACCGGCUAACUCCGUGCCAGCCGCCGCGGUAA
RNAcentral lists this ribosomal RNA (506 nucleotides) under uncultured bacterium. Its description in RNAcentral is "partial 16S ribosomal RNA". It matches the Rfam family "Bacterial small subunit ribosomal RNA", at positions 30 to 523 of the family's 1533-position model. The record is from RNAcentral.